Molecule: long non-coding RNA, 1092 nt
Organism: Betta splendens (Siamese fighting fish)
Lineage: Eukaryota; Metazoa; Chordata; Actinopteri; Anabantiformes; Osphronemidae
Exons: 2
Source: RefSeq, a predicted model, not a curated record
GUUCACGUUUCUUGGAGAGUUUUGGACCGGACCGACGAAAAUGAGCAAAGCAGAGGAGAGCGCGGUGGAGCAGAGAACAUACAGUUUAUUUUGAAGCACUGCAUCGAGCGCUAAGAGCGGAUCUGAGGACCACCAUGACUCCGCGGCAGGAGAUAAGGAAAAGCACUGACCUCAGGGAAUGACUACACAGCGGCACUGUGGCUCUGUUCACAGCGGCAACCCUUCAUUAAUGCUUUGUACAGUGUGUGUAAGCACUUAGCAGCCGGUGUAGGUGGAGACCAAAGUCACGUCUAGGUUGAAUUCCUCAAGCGCUGAUUCUUUCUCACAGGGACAAAUGGAAAAACACACCAAUGCUAACAACCUGGCUGCGCACUGCCAUGGAUACACACACACACACACACACACACACACACACACACACACACACACACACACACACACACACACACACACACAUACACAUACACACACACAUGCACACAGUGAGUGAGAGACGCAUGCAGCCACAUGCACACAGAUGUCGACAGGCAUCUCUAUUUAUACCAUCGCUCCAAUAAAUCUAUCUGUUCAUUUGUCUAUUUUCUCUGGCUUUGCUCAUGGACUGGUGAAUGGCUGCGAGAGGAGAGGAGGCGAGGGUAGAGGAGGCAAGGGGAGACGAGAGGAGACGAGACGAGGCGAGAGGCCUGCGGGACAUAUGAGGACACAACUGUCCGAUGGCGUUUUCCUCCACUUCGGCCCUCCUCCAUAUCUUAGACACCACUGCUACACACCACCGUGCAACAGAUUCCUGGAAAAUAUGAACUUGUGUCAACUUGUACGGCUCAAACUAAUACAGGCCCACUUUUGCCUUUUUUUUCCCUCCCAUCUUUUCAAUUGUACAGCUUAAAUACGUCGAAACAACACCUCUGUCUGCUGAGUGGUAAAACUGAGCUACUGUAAUGGAGGCGAGGUGUGGACAGGAUGCAUUUAGGUGAAAAAUCAUCAGGAAAGCAAGAGCCAAACUAGACCACGUGGAGAAAAGAUGUAUAGAAUACACAACUAAUAUAAGAUGUUAUAAAUGAGCCUAUAAAUAAAAUUAAAUAAAGUUUUCAA